This 113-nucleotide small RNA is filed under the name Marmota monax (woodchuck). The record is from RNAcentral. Lineage: Eukaryota; Metazoa; Chordata; Mammalia; Rodentia; Sciuridae.
GCUGGGCAUGGUGGCGCAUGCCUGUAAUCCCAGUGGCUCUGGAGGCUGAGAUAGGAGGAUGAUGAGUUCAAAGCAAACGAGGUGCUAAGCAACUCAGUGAGCUUCUGUCUCUA